RNAcentral lists this ribosomal RNA (1169 nucleotides) under Corbitella sp. NIWA 126122. Its description in RNAcentral is "SSU rRNA". Lineage: Eukaryota; Metazoa; Porifera; Hexactinellida; Lyssacinosida; Euplectellidae. The record is from RNAcentral.
AGAUAGCCAUGCAUGUCCAAGUAUAAAUCUGUUACAAGAUGAAACUGCGAAUGGCUCAUUAAAUCAGUUCUAGUUUCUUUGAUGGUGUCUUACUACAUGGAUAACCGUAGUAACAUAGAGCUAAUACGUGCUUCAAAUCCUGACUGGUGCUCUCGGGUGCCUGGAAUAGGAUGUAUUUAUUAGAUCCAAAACCAAUGCGUUAUCGCGUGCUUUCGGGUGCGUGGUGGCGGUUAUGUUGGUGAUUCAUGCUAACUUUUCGGAUCGCAUGGCCUUGCGCUGGCGAUGCUUCAUUCAAGUUUCUGCCCUAUCAACUGUCGAUGGUAGGGUAUUGGCCUACCAUGGUUGUAACGGGUGACGGAGAAUUAGGGUUCGGUUCCGGAGAGGGAGCCUGAGAAAUGGCUACCACAUCUAUGGAUGGCAGCAGGCGCGCAAAUUACCCAAUCCCGACCUGGGGAGGUAGUGACAAUAAAUAACAAUGCGGUUCCUUCUUUGGUUCUGCAAUUGGAAUGAGAACAAUCUAAACACCUUAACGAGGAGCAAUUGGAGGGCAAGUCUGGUGCCAGCAGCCGCGGUAAUUCCAGCUCCAAUAGCGUAUAUUAAAGUUGUUGCAGUUAAAAAGCUCGUAGUUGGAUUUCGGAGCGGUCGGGUUGGUCCGCCCAGCGUGGUGUGUACUGGCCUUGGUGGUACGGCUAGGGUAUGCUUCUUUCACGAGGGGCUGCCUUCAGUCUGCCGCCCUUGUUGCGUGUACACGUAGCAAGUGACCGUUCUUCUCCCUCGGAGACGGAGUCUGUCCUUCAGUGGAUGGGCUUUGGAUGCGAGGUGUUUACUUUGAAAAAAUUAGAGUGUUCAAAGCAGGCCUUAUCUUCGCUUGAAUACAUUAGCAUGGAAUAAUGGAAUAGGACUCUGUGCCUAUUUUGUUGGUUUGAAGGCAGAGAGUAAUGAUUAAUAGGGACAGUUGGGGGCAUUCGUAUUUAAUUGUCAGAGGUGAAAUUCUUGGAUUUCUGAAAGACGAACAACUGCGAAAGCAUUUGCCAAGGAUGUUUUCAUUAAUCAAGAACGAAAGUUAGGGGUUCGAAGACGAUCAGAUACCGUCGUAGUCCUAACCAUAAACAAUGCCGACUAGGGAUCAGCGUACGUUCGUUCWAUGGGACGUCGUUGGCACCUUACGA